Molecule: ribosomal RNA, 453 nt
Filed under: uncultured bacterium
Lineage: Bacteria
Description: partial 16S ribosomal RNA
Rfam family: Bacterial small subunit ribosomal RNA
Source: RNAcentral
UAGGGAAUCUUCCACAAUGGACGCAAGUCUGAUGGAGCAACGCCGCGUGAGUGAAGAAGGCUUUCGGGUCGUAAAACUCUGUUAUUGAAGAAGAACGUGUGUGACAGUAACUGGUCAUGCAGUGACGGUAUUCAAUCAGAAAGUCACGGCUAACUACGUGCCAGCAGCCGCGGUAAUACGUAGGUGGCAAGCGUUGUCCGGAUUUAUUGGGCGUAAAGCGAGUGCAGGCGGUCUUUUAAGUCUGAUGUGAAAGCCUUCGGCUUAACCGAAGAAGGGCAUCGGAAACUGGGAGACUUGAGUGCAGAAGAGGAGAGUGGAACUCCAUGUGUAGCGGUGAAAUGCGUAGAUAUAUGGAAGAACACCAGUGGCGAAGGCGGCUCUCUGGUCUGCAACUGACGCUGAGGCUCGAAAGCAUGGGUAGCGAACAGGAUUAGAUACCCUGGUAGUCCAUGC